CAGAUACUUGUGUUCAGGAUCAUCAACACGCGUUUCUUUGAGAUCACAUUGCGCUUUAGUCAACUUUGGACCGAGCACCAGCUACCAGCAUUGACAUCGAGUCUGCAACAAUCUGAUACGUAGACGGGGGUGAGCACUUGGAGUUUUGUGCUAUACCAGUCUCCAUCUAUAUACAUUGACUUGUAUUUUGCUUUUUGACACAAUCUUGUUUCUGUGGUCCACUUUUGGGACAUUUACUCAUUUUGUUAGUAGCUCUGUACAUGUGACUUCCAGGGUCUUGGAGGGAUUUUAUACUUGUAUAUAUAUUUAGGCUUGCUUCCACUUCUUCAUAUA
Molecule: long non-coding RNA, 333 nt
Organism: Solanum tuberosum (potato)
Lineage: Eukaryota; Viridiplantae; Streptophyta; Magnoliopsida; Solanales; Solanaceae
Exons: 2
Source: RefSeq, a predicted model, not a curated record